Oreochromis niloticus (Nile tilapia) is the source of this 410-nucleotide long non-coding RNA. RefSeq lists it as uncharacterized. The transcript has 2 exons. Lineage: Eukaryota; Metazoa; Chordata; Actinopteri; Cichliformes; Cichlidae. The record is from RefSeq and is a predicted model, not a curated record.
CUGCUAAAACCUGAAUAACUUUUUAUUCUCUCACUGGGACCCUCAGCCCGGCUCCCGGUUGCCCAGAUGACGCACUCUGUGGUUCACUUUCUGAAUUUCAUGCCACAUCUGACCGGGAUUGUCUGGACCAUGUCAUCUCUGACGCCACGGGAGAAGAUGGCCCGGGUUUCUAUUGAUGUGAUAAUUUUGGAGACUCGAUCCAAAGGGAUCAAGGAGGGGGAGGAGGGGGAGGAGGAAGCUCCCAGAAGCCGUGCAGGAUGCAGGGAACUACCUCUAUUACCACUUCCUGUGCGGUGAGCAGUUUGGAGCAAUGCUCCUGCUUCUUCUCUUUAAGGAUUUCAAUGUAAUUUCUGACCAUGUUGAGGAGUUCAGGUGUUCUGUAGAAUAAAGUUAAAAGAAGGAUCUGAACA